RNAcentral lists this unclassified non-coding RNA (4287 nucleotides) under Leishmania donovani. RNAcentral's name for it is "gene:LdHU3.24.1250(CDS-product:SNF2_family_protei n)". The record is from RNAcentral. Lineage: Eukaryota; Euglenozoa; Kinetoplastea; Trypanosomatida; Trypanosomatidae.
GAGCGGAAGUGCUCACACACACAACUCAGAAGCAGCCGAAACGGACGUGCACACGCGCAGAGACGCAUGGCGCAUGGUGUUGAGGACGUGUUCUUCAUCGCCUCCUCGUCCUCCUGUGACGAGGAGGAUGACUGUCGGGGAUGCCCAUACGGCACAGCCCCUGUCUCGCCAACGAUGGAGGACGUCCUUUUCGGGCUUGCGCCACCAAAGCUGCGCUCGACACCGCAGUCGCAGAUGCAACAGCAGCAGCACUUCCUGCCAUCCCCGCUCACCAAUGGCGUCAGUGACGGAACCUUCGUGAAGACAGAGGAUGCGGCCGGGUCAGAGAUGAAGGAGUCCGUCGCUGCACAGUGCAGCGUGCCUGGGGGGAAGCCUGAUGCAGAUAAGGACGAACAGGCGGUCCUUUACGCCGGUGGCUCCCCGUGUGCAAUGCCAGCGGCGCAGUCAACGCCGCCGCCGCGCACCCUGGCUGAGCUGCGCAGUAUGACCUCCUCGGACGUGCGAGAGGAGCUGGAGCGCUUCUUUGUGCGCAAAGAAGCUCAUGCGAAACACUUCAAGUCCGUCGCCGCCGCGCUGCUUGGCGGAGCCGCCGCCGCACACAAAGCCGGUACAGCAAAGGCGUCAUCUGCGGCAGUGGCAGGCGCGACUCCUGAGGAACGAUGCACCUCCUCCACUUCACGGCUAACGAGAGAAGAGCUGCUAGCGCGUGACCGGUGCCGGCGACUCGUUAAUGUGAGCAACUGGGACGCUGCAGUCGGCGGCUACAACCAGUGGGAUGUGCUGCUGCCCUCGGCGUUGCUGCACGGCUGCGUCAUGGCCCCUACCGAUGCCACAGCAGGACAGGCUGCACCUGCGACGGCGGCGUCUUCGGAACGGCAAACCGCGUCCACCACCGUCGCAACUUCGCGUGCUCGUCUCACGCUGCGUCCACAUCAAGUUGAAGGCAUUCGAUUUCUGUGGAGUGUGCUGGCGGAGGGGCCGGUGGGACAGGUGCCCGCCGUGGGGUGCAUUCUCGCACACACGAUGGGCCUCGGAAAAACAGCACAAGUGAUCGUGUUCCUACAUCUCUUUAUGGCCGCCUUCCCGCGGCGUCAAGAAAAGGCCGCAUCGUCGUCGUUGCUGCGCCGAGCACGCGCGCUUAUCGUGAUCCCCAAGUCGACCCAGUCAGGUUGGAAGCGUGAGUUUCGCACGUGGUCCGCCUGCUUUCCGGAGGAGCACCGCUUGCGCCCCAUCUCCCUCGACGAAGGGCUGCCCGCGCGCCAGCGAGUCGACAUGUUUUACGCGUGGCGCCGCGACGGUGGCGUGUUGCUGAUCGGCUACGAAGCCCUCGUGCGUCUGCUGCGGCUUGUGGAGGAGGACAGUAUGCUGCGGCCUCACUCGCGUGUGGCCGACAACGCCGCAGGUGUCGAGGGAGAUGCCGGGAGAAACGGUACCGCUCAGCCAACAGUGCACGCUUUCCAUUCGGCAAGCCACGCAACGACGGCGUCGCCGCAGCAGCGCCGCAACGAGCUGCAAGCACGCCGCAACGACGAAGGCGGCAUGACCUUCGGCGGCGACGCUGACCCCUUCACCGAGCUCGUCGUGUGCGAUGAGGCCCACCGGCUCAAGUCCGUACAUCUGCACGUCGUCACGGCCCUCCGCCGUCUCCACCCGCUGCGCCGCCUCCUCCUCACCGGCACGCCGCUUCAGAACCACCUGCAGGAGUACUGGGCCAUGAUGGACUUCUGCGUCCACAAGUACUUCAGCCGCAAGCGCUUCCAGGAGUACUUCAUUCAGCCCAUCGAGGCCUCGGCGAACACGCGCGCCUCGGAGAAGGAGGUGGACUUGGCGCGCAAGAAGACCUUCACACUGAUCAACGAGGUGCGCCACUUUGUGCAGCGCGUCGACAGCACCCCUUUACGCACGGAGCUGCCACCGCUGCACGAGUACGUCGUUGUCGUGCCCCUGUCGCCUCUGCAGAAGGAGCUGUAUCUGCGCUUCAUCCAGAUGGUGCAGCGCGACGGGAGCCAAAAGCUGCAGUUCUUGCCAGCCGUGUCCUACUCGGGCAAGAUCGCGGCUCACCCACAGCUGCUGUUCCAGAUGCGCGAACAGCUGGGGGAGGCAAAGGACAAGGUGACAGCAUCAUCGACAGAGUGUGUGGGAGCAGGUGGGCCUGGUGUUCAGCGCUCUGCACGCGGCUGCCACGUGGCAGGCGCCAAGCGCAGCAGCAACGGUGGUAGCAACUAUCGGGAUGCCUCUACGACGGCCGGCGGCUUGCGUCGCCCGCAGCAGCGGCGUCAGCGUCAAGAGGCGGAGAAGCAGCUGAUGGCGGGCACGGCCGACAGUACUGUCGGUGAUGACGAGGGCGACACGCGCGUUGGAGAAGAGCAGGAGGCAGUCGUGAUCAUCGACUCCGAUGCAGACUCGACCUCCAGCAUCAGCAGCGGCGACGGCGAUGACGAGGAGCACGCGUUUGCCCGUGCAACGCAGCAGUCGUUCUCCAGCGUCUACCCUGUUGCCUCGCUCACCUACGAGGAGCUAUGCGUGCCGCCCUCGCUGAACUACACCCCGCUCCUGGAGGACGGCGUGAAGCUGCUGGUCGCGAUUAAGCUGGUCGCGGCUGCCAUGGCGCGGGAUGAGAAGGUUCUCCUGUUCAGUCUUUCCACGCAGCUUCUCACGUUCCUAGAGAGCAUGAUCGCGAAGGUGAACAUCGAGUGGCGCCGGCCGGUCGCGGCGUUGCAGCGGCAGCAGCACCCGCAGCUGCCACGGCGGAUCCGCUAUUGCCGCCUGGACGGUAGCCACAGCGCGGCGCAGCGGGCGGCGAUGCUCGAGGACUUUGACCGGCCUGACGGCCCGGAACUCUUCCUGUUGAGCACUAAGGCUGGCGGCGUCGGCAUCACCGUCACGGCUGCCACGCGCGUCAUCCUCGUUGACACGAGCUUCAACCCAGCUGACGACCAGCAGGCGAUUGGCCGCGCGUACCGAUACGGGCAGACCCGUCCCGUAUAUGUGUACCGGCUCACGUGCUACCCGACGCUGGAGUACAGCAUCUUUGUGCAGAAGCUGGCUAAGGAGUGGCUGUUCAAGACGGUGAUCGAGGAGUCUUCGGUCAAGCGCGAUGGGCUGUCCGGCAUGCACCUCCGCGAGCUCUUCUCCCUCCUCACGAAGGCUGCGAAGGUGCUGGAGAAGCCGCUGUCCGCGACGCGCGCGCAGACGCUGUCGACACAGGAGGUGUUGCGCGAGGACCCGAUGCUCGGUGUCGCGCAGGCGGAGUUGCUCUACGCGCAGCGGUACGAGAUGUUUCUUGAGCACGACAUGGACGACCGGUACGGCGCUGCUGAGGAGGCCUUCUACCACGACUACUGCCGCAACCGGUUAUUUGACACGGCCGACGACGAGGACGCCGAGAAGCGGCGUGCGGCGGAGCUGCAGAAACGGCAGCAGCAGCGGAUCGACGAGGCAGCCCAGCUGCAAAUGCAGUCAAAGACGCUCACGGCUAUGGUGGACAACCUCAUCCGGUCAAGGGCCGGGACAGACUCGCAGUUGGCGCGCCUUCUCACCGCGAUGGGUCUGCACGUGCACCCCGUCACCGGCCGCGUACAACUGAGGAGGGGCGGCGCGGAUACGAUGAACCCCAGCGGCAACCGCGAUGACCGGCGCCGCACGGCGGCUCCUUUGCAGCUGGAGGACAGCGGGGAGCGCUUUGCGCCGUCGCCGGUGCAACUUGUCGGCGGUGCAGAUGCCUACCAGGUGAACGAGGGACUGAGCCGCGGCACAGGCGCCUACGUCGCACACAGUACCCCGCAGACGGCAGUGCUGCUACUGGAUUCCGAUGAGGACUCACGCGGCGUCCUCGCCCAGCCGCACGCACGUGAAGAGCACUUUGGCGCCGCCCUCUCAGCGGCAGCGAGCGCCGAGCGUAUAUCCGCCACUCUUGCGCGCCAACCAUACGCGCCCUACCGCCCGGGUAGCUCCCCCGCGUACGCUGUCGACAUCGACAACGACGGAUCGCUUUAGCAACGGGGUGGCAAGGCGGGGGGAAGGGGUGGAAGACGACGGUGGGCACACACCGCAGAAAGCGCUGCUGAUUUUUGUUUCUUACUGCGCACCCUCGUGUGGCAGCUCUGCACACGUGUUAUGAAGCGGAAGAUUGAUCGUAGAGGGGGUGGGGGCGUGUACUUGGAGGAAGGGAGGGGGUGACGGCCCCCCUCCCCAUGCGUUUGCGUGUCCGUCGACGUGUGCUCUGGGCGACCGUACCUCGCCCCCUCUCUUCUCCAUCUCAUCUGCAGUGGCCCCUGCAACCAUAAU